Molecule: non-coding RNA, 211 nt
Organism: Pelobates cultripes (western spadefoot toad)
Lineage: Eukaryota; Metazoa; Chordata; Amphibia; Anura; Pelobatidae
Source: the annotation of a GenBank genome assembly
CAUUGGGCAAACCUGCUGACGGCUGCCAAGUAUGGAAUGCGUGGCUCUGCAGAGGAGUUGGUGACACCGCCAUGACUUGCAGGCAGGCCUGCUGCCACCUCUUCUACUCCUCCUACUCCAUCCUCUUCCAUAACCUCCUCGGCUGAGUCCUCUUCUGCUGCUGCGUCUUGCUCCACAUCAACGGAUAGGGGACGUAACAGGGAUUAAACUG